ACCAAGGGGAGGGUUGUUACCCACCUGGAAGGUGGAUCGCCAACUUGGGACUGAGACCCGGCCCAGAUUCCUACGGGAGGCAGCAGUAGGGAUCUUCCGCAAUGGACGAAAGUCCGACGGAGCAACGCCGCCUGAAUGAUGAAGGUUUUCGGAUCGAAAAGCUCCGUUGUUAGGGAAGAACAAGUGCGAGAGUAACUGCUCGCACCCGGACGGGACCUAACCAGAAAGCCACGGCUAACUACGGGCUUACAGCCGCGGUAAUACGUAGGUGGCAAGCGUUGUCCGGAAUUAUUGGGCGUAAAGGGCUCGCAGGCGGUUUCUUAAGUCUGAUGUGAAAGCCCCCGGCUCAACCGGGGAGGGUCAUUGGAAACUGGGAAACUUGAGUGCAGAAGAGGAGAGUGGAAUUCCACGUGUAGCGGUGAAAUGCGUAGAGAUGUGGAGGAACACCAGUGGCGAAGGCGACUCUCUGGUCUGUAACUGACGCUGAGGAGCGAAAGCGUGGGGAGCGAACAGGAUUAGAUACCCUGGUAGUCCACGCCGUAAACGAUGAGUGCUAAGUGUUAGGGGGUUUCCGCCCCUUAGUGCUGCAGCUAACGCAUUAAGCACUCCGCCUGGGGAGUACGGUCGCAAGACUGAAACUCAAAGGAAUUGACGGGGGCCCGCACAAGCGGUGGAGCAUGUGGUUUAAUUCGAAGCAACGCGAAGAACCUUACCAGGUCUUGACAUCCUCUGACAACCCUAGAGAUAGGGCUUUCCCUUCGGGGACAGAGUGACAGGUGGUGCAUGGUUGUCGUCAGCUCGUGUCGUGAGAUGUUGGGUUAAGUCCCGCAACGAGCGCAACCCUUGAUCUUAGUUGCCAGCAUUUAGUUGGGCACUCUAAGGUGACUGCCGGUGACAAACCGGAGGAAGGUGGGGAUGACGUCAAAUCAUCAUGCCCCUUAUGACCUGGGCUACACACGUGCUACAAUGGACAGAACAAAGGGCUGCGAGACCGCAAGGUUUAGCCAAUCCCAUAAAUCUGUUCUCAGUUCGGAUCGCAGUCUGCAACUCGACUGCGUGAAGCUGGAAUCGCUAGUAAUCGCGGAUCAGCAUGCCGCGGUGAAUACGUUCCCGGGCCUUGUACACACCGCCCGUCACACCACGAGAGUUUGCAACACCCGAAGUCGGUGAGGUAACCUUUAUGGAGCCGGUGCG
This 1194-nucleotide ribosomal RNA is filed under the name Bacillus pumilus. RNAcentral describes it as "bacterial SSU rRNA". It matches the Rfam family "Bacterial small subunit ribosomal RNA", at positions 267 to 1455 of the family's 1533-position model. The record is from RNAcentral. Lineage: Bacteria; Bacillati; Bacillota; Bacilli; Caryophanales; Bacillaceae.